GCCGCUGUAGCUCAGUGGGAGAGCGUCCGGCUGAAGACCGGAAUGUCGUCGGUUCAAAUCCGACCAGCGGCA
RNAcentral lists this transfer RNA (72 nucleotides) under Candidatus Micrarchaeum acidiphilum ARMAN-2. Its description in RNAcentral is "tRNA-Phe". It matches the Rfam family "tRNA". Rfam says of the family: Transfer RNA (tRNA) molecules are approximately 80 nucleotides in length. Their secondary structure includes four short double-helical elements and three loops (D, anti-codon, and T loops). The record is from RNAcentral. RNAcentral also lists the same sequence under 2 other names. Lineage: Archaea; Nanobdellati; Microcaldota; Candidatus Micrarchaeia; Candidatus Micrarchaeales; Candidatus Micrarchaeaceae.